RNAcentral lists this ribosomal RNA (468 nucleotides) under uncultured bacterium. Its description in RNAcentral is "partial 16S ribosomal RNA". It matches the Rfam family "Bacterial small subunit ribosomal RNA", at positions 28 to 507 of the family's 1533-position model. The record is from RNAcentral.
GACGAACGCUGGCGGCGUGCUUAACACAUGCAAGUCGAACGGAAAGGCCCUGCUUUUGUGGGGUGCUCGAGUGGCGAACGGGUGAGUAACACGUGAGUAACCUGCCCUUGACUUUGGGAUAACUUCAGGAAACUGGGGCUAAUACCGGAUAGGAGCUCCUGCUGCAUGGUGGGGGUUGGAAAGUUUCGGCGGUUGGGGAUGGACUCGCGUCUUAUCAGCUUGUUGGUGGGGUAGUGGCUUACCAAGGCUUUGACGGGUAGCCGGCCUGAGAGGGUGACCGGCCACAUUGGGACUGAGAGACGGCCCAGACUCCUACGGGAGGCAGCAGUGGGGAAUAUUGCACAAUGGGCGGAAGCCUGAUGCAGCAACGCCGCGUGCGGGAUGACGGCCUUCGGGUUGUAAACCGCUUUCGCCUGUGACGAAGCGUGAGUGACGGUAAUGGGUAAAGAAGCACCGGCUAACUACGUG